UCCGUAGGUGAACCUGCGGAAGGAUCAUUAAUGAUUAGGGGGGAGUUGAGCUGGUUUUACAAGUGCUCGCUUUUUCCGUCUACCAAAUACACCUGUGAACCGUAGGGAAAAUGUAGCUCUCGUGUGCUCUUUUCCUUACUCUUAACAUACCCCAAUUCUUAACUGUGAACGUGAUAAGCUAUUGUACCGCAAGGUCGAUAAUCGAAUAUACAACUUUUAACAACGGAUCUCUUGGCUCUCGCAUCGAUGAAGAACGCAGCGAAAUGCGAUACGUAAUGUGAAUUGCAGAAUUCAGUGAAUCAUCGAAUCUUUGAACGCACCUUGCACUCUUUGGUAUUCCGAAGAGUACGCCUGUUCGAGUAUCUUGAAACUAUCAGACCUCUGUCUUUUGAUUAAGGCAUUGGACUGGAUUUGGGCUUUACCGUCUCUUCUAGCUAAGAACGGUUGGUCUUAAAAGCAUUAGCUGACCCUCGAUUUGUGGGAUUGGUUCUACUCGGCGUGAUAAUUAUCUGGCCGUCGAGGACAUUUGCUUAGGUGCGAAUGGCCAGCCUCACCUUGGAUUGCUUCUAAUCGCACCCUCGUGCAAUUUUCAACUUUGAUCUCGAAUCAGGUGGGACUACCCGCUGAACUUAAGCAUAUCAAUAAGCGGAGGA
RNAcentral lists this ribosomal RNA (653 nucleotides) under uncultured fungus. RNAcentral describes it as "eukaryotic LSU rRNA". The stretch from base 212 to 365 matches the Rfam family "5.8S ribosomal RNA". The record is from RNAcentral. Lineage: Eukaryota; Fungi.